This 483-nucleotide ribosomal RNA is filed under the name uncultured bacterium. RNAcentral describes it as "partial 16S ribosomal RNA". It matches the Rfam family "Bacterial small subunit ribosomal RNA", at positions 28 to 523 of the family's 1533-position model. The record is from RNAcentral.
GAUGAACGCUGGCGGCGUGCCUAAUACAUGCAAGUCGAGCGAACCACUUCGGUGGUGAGCGGCGAACGGGUGAGUAACACGUAGGUGAUCUGCCCAUCAGACGGGGACAACGAGUGGAAACGAUCGCUAAUACCUGAUAGGACGAAAGUUUAAAGGUGCUUGUGGCACCGCUGAUGGAUGAGCCUGCGGCGCAUUAGCUAGUUGGUAGGGUAAAGGCAUAACAAGGCGACGAUGCGUAGCCGACCUGAGAGGGUGAACGGCCACACUGGGACUGAGACACGGCCCAGGCUCCUACGGGAGGCAGCAGUAGGGAAUCUUCGGCAAUGGGCGAAAGCCUGACCGAGCAACGCCGCGUGAAUGAUGAAGGCCUUCGGGUUGUAAAAUUCUGUUAUAAGGGAAGAACGACUUUAGUAGGAAAUGGCUAGAGUGUGACGGUACCUUAUGAGAAAGCCACGGCUAACUACGUGCCAGCAGCCGCAGUAA